Molecule: long non-coding RNA, 396 nt
Organism: Vigna unguiculata (cowpea)
Lineage: Eukaryota; Viridiplantae; Streptophyta; Magnoliopsida; Fabales; Fabaceae
Source: RefSeq, a predicted model, not a curated record
AUUCUGCUAAUUUUCAGAGAAGAUUGUUCCCCUACCCCCCUUGCAGCUGAACGUAGAGCUCUGCUAGGGCAUUCUCCAAGCAACCGUCGUUUCACUCUAAGGUCUCAUUCGGUUUUACUGCGCUGGUUUGGGUCGUCGUACCUUCCCCUUCUCAGUGAACUUCAGUGCUCCCAUUCAAGAUGUGAAAACCUCUGGCAGUGGUAAUAAUAGAGAUGUUGCGGUUUGAUGAUACCUUGGGAGACUAUCAGGCUCAUUAUGGGGGCCUCAGCGUUGGAGUUUAGUAGUAGUAGGAGUUUCUCUCGCUCUUGGCGAGUUUUUGUAUCUCGUUUAGGCAUGUGGAGCCUCUUUCUUUUGUUAUGGAUAUGUUGGAGUACUAUGUAUGUCAUAUUUCGUCUU